GACGAACCGUGCGAACGUUGUUCGGAAUCACUGGGCUUAAAGGGCGCGUAGGCGGCUUGCCAAGUCGGGGGUGAAAUACUUCAGCUUAACUGGAGAAGUGCCUUCGAUACUGGCAGGCUUGAGGGAGGUAGGGGUCUGCGGAACUUCUGGUGGAGCGGUGAAAUGCGUUGAUAUCAGAAGGAACGCCGGUGGCGAAAGCGGCGGACUGGACCUCUUCUGACGCUGAGGCGCGAAAGCUAGGGGAGCAAACGGG
This 253-nucleotide ribosomal RNA is filed under the name uncultured bacterium. RNAcentral's name for it is "partial 16S ribosomal RNA". It matches the Rfam family "Bacterial small subunit ribosomal RNA", at positions 524 to 776 of the family's 1533-position model. RNAcentral also lists the same sequence under 1 other name. The record is from RNAcentral.